GGUGAGGAUAGAGGAGCAAAGACCAUCAGUACGCUUACCGAGGAGUAUGGGAUCCGUUGACGUAUGCUGAAAGGGGAAUUUGCCGAAGCGAUGAAAGGCUCAUAACCGCCAUCGCUGGUUCUGCAUUGAAAAAAUGCUGGACUGUCAUAUAGGAAACUAUAUGGAGGGCUAUCUGACAC
Regulatory RNA element from Planomicrobium sp., 179 nucleotides. It matches the Rfam family "Lysine riboswitch aptamer". From Rfam's summary of the family: Riboswitches are metabolite binding domains within certain messenger RNAs that serve as precision sensors for their corresponding targets. Lineage: Bacteria; Bacillati; Bacillota; Bacilli; Caryophanales; Caryophanaceae. The record is from Rfam.